ACAGAGGGUGCAAGCGUUGCUCGGAAUCAUUGGGCGUAAAGGGUAGGUAGGUGGUCUCGUUUGUCUGGGGUGAAAGCCCAGGGCUUAACCCUGGAAGUGCCCCGGAAACGGCGAGACUGGAGUCUUGGAGAGGGUCGUGGAAUUCCCGGUGUAGCGGUGAAAUGCGUAGAGAUCGGGAGGAACACCAGAGGCGAAGGCGGCGACCUGGACAAGUACUGACACUCAACUACGAAAGCGUGGGGAGCAAACAGGA
This 253-nucleotide ribosomal RNA is filed under the name uncultured prokaryote. Its description in RNAcentral is "partial 16S ribosomal RNA". It matches the Rfam family "Bacterial small subunit ribosomal RNA", at positions 525 to 777 of the family's 1533-position model. The record is from RNAcentral.